RNAcentral lists this transfer RNA (68 nucleotides) under Marmota monax (woodchuck). RNAcentral describes it as "tRNA.Ala". Lineage: Eukaryota; Metazoa; Chordata; Mammalia; Rodentia; Sciuridae. The record is from RNAcentral.
GGAUUGUGGCUCAGUGGUAGAGUGCUCGCCUAGCAUGCACAAGGCCCUGGGUUCUAACCUCAGCACCA